AAUAGAUACCCUGGUAGUCCACGCCGUAAACGUUGGGCGCUAGAUGUGGGGACCAUUCCACGGUUUCCGUGUCGCAGCUAACGCAUUAAGCGCCCCGCCUGGGGAGUACGGCCGCAAGGCUAAAACUCAAAGGAAUUGACGGGGGCCCGCACAAGCGGCGGAGCAUGCGGAUUAAUUCGAUGCAACGCGAAGAACCUUACCAAGGCUUAACAUAUACGAGAACGCUGCAGAAAUGCAGAACUCUUUGGACACUCGUAUACAGGUGGUGCAUGGUUGUCGUCAGCUCGUGUCGUGAGAUGUUGGGUUAAGUCCCGCAACGAGCGCAACCCUCGUUCUAUGUUGCCAGCGCGUUAUGGCGGGAACUCAUAGGAGACUGCCGGGGUCAACUCGGAGGAAGGUGGGGAUGACGUCAAAUCAUCAUGCCCCUUAUGUCUUGGGCUUCACGCAUGCUACAAUGGCCGGUACAAAGGGCUGCAAUACCGCAAGGUGGAGCGAAUCCCAAAAAGCCGGUCUCAGUUCGGAUUGAGGU
RNAcentral lists this ribosomal RNA (529 nucleotides) under uncultured bacterium. RNAcentral describes it as "bacterial SSU rRNA". It matches the Rfam family "Bacterial small subunit ribosomal RNA", at positions 777 to 1304 of the family's 1533-position model. The record is from RNAcentral.